AGCUAGUAGGUGGGGUAACGGCUCACCUAGGCGACGAUCCCUAGCUGGUCUGAGAGGAUGACCAGCCACACUGGAACUGAGACACGGUCCAGACUCCUACGGGAGGCAGCAGUGGGGAAUAUUGCACAAUGGGCGCAAGCCUGAUGCAGCCAUGCCGCGUGUGUGAAGAAGGCCUUCGGGUUGUAAAGCACUUUCAGCGGGGAGGAAGGCGGUGAGGUUAAUAACCUCAUCGAUUGACGUUACCCGCAGAAGAAGCACCGGCUAACUCCGUGCCAGCAGCCGCGGUAAUACGGAGGGUGCAAGCGUUAAUCGGAAUUACUGGGCGUAAAGCGCACGCAGGCGGUCUGUCAAGUCGGAUGUGAAAUCCCCGGGCUCAACCUGGGAACUGCAUUCGAAACUGGCAGGCUAGAGUCUUGUAGAGGGGGGUAGAAUUCCAGGUGUAGCGGUGAAAUGCGUAGAGAUCUGGAGGAAUACCGGUGGCGAAGGCGGCCCCCUGGACAAAGACUGACGCUCAGGUGCGAAAGCGUGGGGAGCAAACAGGAUUAGAUACCCUGGUAGUCCACGCCGUAAACGAUGUCGAUUUGGAGGUUGUGCCCUUGAGGCGUGGCUUCCGGAGCUAACGCGUUAAAUCGACCGCCUGGGGAGUACGGCCGCAAGGUUAAAACUCAAAUGAAUUGACGGGGGCCCGCACAAGCGGUGGAGCAUGUGGUUUAAUUCGAUGCAACGCGAAGAACCUUACCUGGUCUUGACAUCCACAGAACUUUCCAGAGAUGGAUUGGUGCCUUCGGGAACUGUGAGACAGGUGCUGCAUGGCUGUCGUCAGCUCGUGUUGUGAAAUGUUGGGUUAAGUCCCGCAACGAGCGCAACCCUUAUCCUUUGUUGCCAGCGGUUAGGCCGGGAACUCAAAGGAGACUGCCAGUGAUAAACUGGAGGAAGGUGGGGAUGACGUCAAGUCAUCAUGGCCCUUACGACCAGGGCUACACACGUGCUACAAUGGCAUAUACAAAGAGAAGCGACCUCGCGAGAGCAAGCGGACCUCAUAAAGUAUGUCGUAGUCCGGAUUGGAGUCUGCAACUCGACUCCAUGAAGUCGGAAUCGCUAGUAAUCGUAGAUCAGAAUGCUACGGUGAAUACGUUCCCGGGCCUUGUACACACCGCCCGUCACACCAUGGGAGUGGGUUGCAAAAGAAGUAGGUAGCUUAACCUUCGGGAGGGCGCUUACCACUUUGUGAUUCAUGACUGGGGUGAAGUCGUAACAAGGUAACCGUAGGGGAACCUGCGGUUGGAUCACCUCCUUA
Molecule: ribosomal RNA, 1297 nt
Filed under: Klebsiella pneumoniae
Lineage: Bacteria; Pseudomonadati; Pseudomonadota; Gammaproteobacteria; Enterobacterales; Enterobacteriaceae
Description: bacterial SSU rRNA
Rfam family: Bacterial small subunit ribosomal RNA
Source: RNAcentral